AGUGAACGCUGGCGGUAGGCCUAACACAUGCAAGUCGAACGGCAGCACAGUAAGAGCUUGCUCUUACGGGUGGCGAGUGGCGGACGGGUGAGGAAUACAUCGGAAUCUACUUUUUCGUGGGGGAUAACGUAGGGAAACUUACGCUAAUACCGCAUACGACCUGCGGGUGAAAGCAGGGGAUCUUCGGACCUUGCGCGAUUGAAUGAGCCGAUGUCGGAUUAGCUAGUUGGCGGGGUAAAGGCCCACCAAGGCGACGAUCCGUAGCUGGUCUGAGAGGAUGAUCAGCCACACUGGAACUGAGACACGGUCCAGACUCCUACGGGAGGCAGCAGUGGGGAAUAUUGGACAAUGGGCGCAAGCCUGAUCCAGCCAUACCGCGUGGGUGAAGAAGGCCUUCGGGUUGUAAAGCCCUUUUGUUGGGAAAGAAAAGCAGCAGGUUAAUACCCCGCUGUUCUGACGGUACCCAAAGAAUAAGCACCGACUAACUUCGUG
RNAcentral lists this ribosomal RNA (492 nucleotides) under uncultured bacterium. RNAcentral's name for it is "partial 16S ribosomal RNA". It matches the Rfam family "Bacterial small subunit ribosomal RNA", at positions 29 to 507 of the family's 1533-position model. The record is from RNAcentral.